CCACGCCGAGCACAGCAGGCUAAGGCGCGACGCCACGCCGACGGACGGCGUGGCGCGCGAGGCCGUCCGGGCGGGGCGCGGGAGCGAGCGAGAGCUUCAGAGAAAAAUACACAGACUCUUUUGGAGGUGGAAGUGAUAUAUCUCCAUUCUCCAGAAAGGACAUGAUUGAUGACACGAGUGGCCGCACAUUUGGGCUGUCCUGAACACACAAAAGUCCAAUAUGGAUGCACCGUAUAGUUUCAUCAGAAGCCGAGAAGUCUAACCAAGUUUUUAUGCUGCAACUUCGCAAUGAGUAUUACUUCAUUUCUGAACUCCGGUCAAACAAGAUGGAAAUACAGUUAUGUUCGUCGAUAAGAUAAAAAUUCACGUUACCUUGUAAACACUGCCAAAACCUCCAUGUCCAAGCUUGUUGGAGUUAGAGAAAUUGUUUGUUGCAAGUACAAUUUCUUUGAAGCUAA
Non-coding RNA from Triticum urartu, 458 nucleotides. The record is from RefSeq and is a predicted model, not a curated record. NCBI's taxonomy places the organism in Eukaryota, Viridiplantae, Streptophyta, Magnoliopsida, Poales, Poaceae.